This 408-nucleotide ribosomal RNA is filed under the name uncultured bacterium. RNAcentral's name for it is "partial 16S ribosomal RNA". It matches the Rfam family "Bacterial small subunit ribosomal RNA", at positions 28 to 526 of the family's 1533-position model. The record is from RNAcentral.
GACGAACGCUGGCGGCGUGCCUAACACAUGCAAGUCGAACGAAGUGGCGAACGGGUGAGUAACGCGUAAUCAACCUGCCCUUCAGAGGGGGACAACAGUUGGAAACGACUGCUAAUACCGCAUAAUGAAGGUGGGGAUUGCGUCUGUUUCGCUAGUUGGGGGGGUAACGGCCCAACAAGGCGAAAAUCAGUAGCCGGUCUGGGAGGAUGAAUGGCCACAAUGGGACUGAGACACGGCCCAGACUCCUACGGGAGGCAGCAGUGGGGAAUCUUCCGCAAUGGACGAAAGGCUGACGAAGCAACGCCGCGUGAGUGAUGACGGCCUUCGGGUUGUAAAGCUCUGUUAAUCGGGACGCGGUACCGGAAUAGAAAGCCACGGCUAACUACGUGCCAGCCGCCGCGGUAAUAC